GGUUAAGCGACUAAGCGUACACGGUGGAUGCCCUGGCAGUCAGAGGCGAUGAAGGACGUGCUAAUCUGCGAUAAGCGUCGGUAAGGUGAUAUGAACCGUUAUAACCGGCGAUUUCCGAAUGGGGAAACCCAGUGUGAUUCGUCACACUAUCAUUAACUGAAUCCAUAGGUUAAUGAGGCGAACCGGGGGAACUGAAACAUCUAAGUACCCCGAGGAAAAGAAAUCAACCGAGAUUCCCCCAGUAGCGGCGAGCGAACGGGGAGCAGCCCAGAGCCUGAAUCAGUGUGUGUGUUAGUGGAAGCGUCUGGAAAGGCGCGCGAUACAGGGUGACAGCCCCGUACACAAAAAUGCACAUGCUGUGAGCUCGAUGAGUAGGGCGGGACACGUGGUAUCCUGUCUGAAUAUGGGGGGACCAUCCUCCAAGGCUAAAUACUCCUGACUGACCGAUAGUGAACCAGUACCGUGAGGGAAAGGCGAAAAGAACCCCGGCGAGGGGAGUGAAAAAGAACCUGAAACCGUGUACGUACAAGCAGUGGGAGCACGCUUAGGCGUGUGACUGCGUACCUUUUGUAUAAUGGGUCAGCGACUUAUAUUCUGUAGCAAGGUUAACCGAAUAGGGGAGCCGAAGGGAAACCGAGUCUUAACUGGGCGUUAAGUUGCAGGGUAUAGACCCGAAACCCGGUGAUCUAGCCAUGGGCAGGUUGAAGGUUGGGUAACACUAACUGGAGGACCGAACCGACUAAUGUUGAAAAAUUAGCGGAUGACUUGUGGCUGGGGGUGAAAGGCCAAUCAAACCGGGAGAUAGCUGGUUCUCCCCGAAAGCUAUUUAGGUAGCGCCUCGUGAAUUCAUCUCCGGGGGUAGAGCACUGUUUCGGCAAGGGGGUCAUCCCGACUUACCAACCCGAUGCAAACUGCGAAUACCGGAGAAUGUUAUCACGGGAGACACACGGCGGGUGCUAACGUCCGUCGUGAAGAGGGAAACAACCCAGACCGCCAGCUAAGGUCCCAAAGUCAUGGUUAAGUGGGAAACGAUGUGGGAAGGCCCAGACAGCCAGGAUGUUGGCUUAGAAGCAGCCAUCAUUUAAAGAAAGCGUAAUAGCUCACUGGUCGAGUCGGCCUGCGCGGAAGAUGUAACGGGGCUAAACCAUGCACCGAAGCUGCGGCAGCGACGCUUAUGCGUUGUUGGGUAGGGGAGCGUUCUGUAAGCCUGCGAAGGUGUGCUGUGAGGCAUGCUGGAGGUAUCAGAAGUGCGAAUGCUGACAUAAGUAACGAUAAAGCGGGUGAAAAGCCCGCUCGCCGGAAGACCAAGGGUUCCUGUCCAACGUUAAUCGGGGCAGGGUGAGUCGACCCCUAAGGCGAGGCCGAAAGGCGUAGUCGAUGGGAAACAGGUUAAUAUUCCUGUACUUGGUGUUACUGCGAAGGGGGGACGGAGAAGGCUAUGUUGGCCGGGCGACGGUUGUCCCGGUUUAAGCGUGUAGGCUGGUUUUCCAGGCAAAUCCGGAAAAUCAAGGCUGAGGCGUGAUGACGAGGCACUACGGUGCUGAAGCAACAAAUGCCCUGCUUCCAGGAAAAGCCUCUAAGCAUCAGGUAACAUCAAAUCGUACCCCAAACCGACACAGGUGGUCAGGUAGAGAAUACCAAGGCGCUUGAGAGAACUCGGGUGAAGGAACUAGGCAAAAUGGUGCCGUAACUUCGGGAGAAGGCACGCUGAUAUGUAGGUGAAGUGAUUUACUCAUGGAGCUGAAAUCAGUCGAAGAUACCAGCUGGCUGCAACUGUUUAUUAAAAACACAGCACUGUGCAAACACGAAAGUGGACGUAUACGGUGUGACGCCUGCCCGGUGCCGGAAGGUUAAUUGAUGGGGUCAGCGCAAGCGAAGCUCUUGAUCGAAGCCCCGGUAAACGGCGGCCGUAACUAUAACGGUCCUAAGGUAGCGAAAUUCCUUGUCGGGUAAGUUCCGACCUGCACGAAUGGCGUAAUGAUGGCCAGGCUGUCUCCACCCGAGACUCAGUGAAAUUGAACUCGCUGUGAAGAUGCAGUGUACCCGCGGCAAGACGGAAAGACCCCGUGAACCUUUACUAUAGCUUGACACUGAACAUUGAGCCUUGAUGUGUAGGAUAGGUGGGAGGCUUUGAAGUGUGGACGCCAGUCUGCAUGGAGCCGACCUUGAAAUACCACCCUUUAAUGUUUGAUGUUCUAACGUUGACCCGUAAUCCGGGUUGCGGACAGUGUCUGGUGGGUAGUUUGACUGGGGCGGUCUCCUCCUAAAGAGUAACGGAGGAGCACGAAGGUUGGCUAAUCCUGGUCGGACAUCAGGAGGUUAGUGCAAUGGCAUAAGCCAGCUUGACUGCGAGCGUGACGGCGCGAGCAGGUGCGAAAGCAGGUCAUAGUGAUCCGGUGGUUCUGAAUGGAAGGGCCAUCGCUCAACGGAUAAAAGGUACUCCGGGGAUAACAGGCUGAUACCGCCCAAGAGUUCAUAUCGACGGCGGUGUUUGGCACCUCGAUGUCGGCUCAUCACAUCCUGGGGCUGAAGUAGGUCCCAAGGGUAUGGCUGUUCGCCAUUUAAAGUGGUACGCGAGCUGGGUUUAGAACGUCGUGAGACAGUUCGGUCCCUAUCUGCCGUGGGCGCUGGAGAACUGAGGGGGGCUGCUCCUAGUACGAGAGGACCGGAGUGGACGCAUCACUGGUGUUCGGGUUGUCAUGCCAAUGGCACUGCCCGGUAGCUAAAUGCGGAAGAGAUAAGUGCUGAAAGCAUCUAAGCACGAAACUUGCCCCGAGAUGAGUUCUCCCUGAGACUUUAAGUCUCCUGAAGGAACGUUGAAGACGACGACGUUGAUAGGCCGGGUGUGUAAGCGCAGCGAUGCGUUGAGCUAACCGGUACUAAUGAACCGUGAGGCUUAACCUU
RNAcentral lists this ribosomal RNA (2904 nucleotides) under Escherichia coli. RNAcentral describes it as "23S ribosomal RNA". It matches the Rfam family "Bacterial large subunit ribosomal RNA". Lineage: Bacteria; Pseudomonadati; Pseudomonadota; Gammaproteobacteria; Enterobacterales; Enterobacteriaceae. The record is from RNAcentral.